This 429-nucleotide ribosomal RNA is filed under the name uncultured bacterium. RNAcentral describes it as "bacterial SSU rRNA". It matches the Rfam family "Bacterial small subunit ribosomal RNA", at positions 355 to 776 of the family's 1533-position model. The record is from RNAcentral.
UGGGGAAUAUUGGACAAUGGGCGCAAGCCUGAUCCAGCAAUGCCGCGUGGGUGAAGACGGCCUGCGGGUUGUAAAGCCCUUUAGGCGGGGAGGAACGGUGGGGUGCGAAUACCACUUCACGCUGACGUUACCCGCAGAAUAAGCACCGGCUAACUCCGUGCCAGCAGCCGCGGUAAUACGGAGGGUGCGAGCGUUAAUCGGAAUUACUGGGCGUAAAGCGUGCGUAGGCGGUUUGGUCAGUCAGCCGUGAAAGCCCCGGGCUUAACCUGGGAACGGCGGUUGAGACGGCCCGACUCGAGUGGGCUAGAGGAUCGUGGAAUUCCGGGUGUAGCGGUGAAAUGCGUAGAGAUCCGGAGGAACACCGAUGGCGAAGGCAGCGGUCUGGGGCCACACUGACGCUGAGGCACGACGGCGUGGGGAGCAAACAGG